AGAGUUUGAUCAUGGCUCAGAACGAACGCUGGCGGCAUGCCUAACACAUGCAAGUCGAACGAGACCUUCGGGUCUAGUGGCGCACGGGUGCGUAACGCGUGGGAAUCUGCCCUUUGCUUCGGAAUAACAGUUAGAAAUGACUGCUAAUACCGGAUGAUGUCUUCGGACCAAAGAUUUAUCGGCAAAGGAUGAGCCCGCGUAGGAUUAGGUAGUUGGUGGGGUAAAGGCCUACCAAGCCGACGAUCCUUAGCUGGUCUGAGAGGAUGAUCAGCCACACUGGGACUGAGACACGGCCCAGACUCCUACGGGAGGCAGCAGUGGGGAAUAUUGGACAAUGGGCGAAAGCCUGAUCCAGCAAUGCCGCGUGAGUGAUGAAGGCCUUCGGGUCGUAAAGCUCUUUUACCAGGGAUGAUAAUGACAGUACCUGGAGAAUAAGCUCCGGCUAACUCCGUG
This 453-nucleotide ribosomal RNA is filed under the name uncultured bacterium. RNAcentral's name for it is "bacterial SSU rRNA". It matches the Rfam family "Bacterial small subunit ribosomal RNA", at positions 8 to 507 of the family's 1533-position model. The record is from RNAcentral.